Molecule: ribosomal RNA, 468 nt
Filed under: uncultured bacterium
Lineage: Bacteria
Description: partial 16S ribosomal RNA
Rfam family: Bacterial small subunit ribosomal RNA
Source: RNAcentral
GACGAACGCUGGCGGCGUGCUUAACACAUGCAAGUCGAACGGAAAGGCCCUGCUUUUGUGGGGUGCUCGAGUGGCGAACGGGUGAGUAACACGUGAGUAACCUGCCCUGGACUUUGGGAUAAGUCCAGGAAACUGGGGCUAAUACCGGAUAGGAGCUCCGGCUGCAUGGUGGGGGUGGGAAAGUUUUGGGGGUUGGGGGUGGACUCGCGGCUUAUGAGCUUGUGGGUGGGGUAGUGGCUUACAAAGGCUUUGGCGGGUAGCCGGCCUGAGAGGGUGACCGGCCACUUUGGGUCUGAGAUACCGCCCAGACUCCUCCGGGAGACCGCAGUGGGGAAUUUUGCACAAUGGGCGGACGCCUGAUACAGCACCGCCGCGUGCGGGAUGACGGCCUUCGGUUUGUAACCCGCUUUCGCCUGUGGCGGAGCGUGUGUGACGGUAAUGGGAGAAGAAGCACCGGCUAACUACGUG